AUGUUUCAGAAAUUAAGGUGAUAGGAAAUUGAACUCGAUAUGAUAUUUGUCCAUUAUUAUACAAUCAGGAAAAUGCACUAUUGGUGACUGGUAUACGUGUGUAUAUCUACAGAAACCCCAGGGAUUGGUAGAAGACUGUUAUUCUUAUUAUGUUCAUUAUCACCUUUGAUAGUAAAUUUACUGUUAAACGACUGUUUGUUAAUUAUUGUCUUCGGCUCCCCCAGCUCUUGUAUUUUGACAGAUUCAAAGUGAAGAGGCUCUUCAGAUUGGUGUAUAUGUUAUUGUCAGAGAAAUUUACAAAUGCCAAUCGUUUGCCGUGUUGAAUGUACUUGUUUACAUAUGCAAUGAAAUCCUGGAAGAGGCGAUGAUGAUAAUAUAGGGAGAUCGGUUUGACUGCUUAAUUAUUGAUUCCAAGCCGUAUCUUCCCUACAGGCCUAAUAUAUUCAACAAGUGGGGAACUGUCCACUACCAUGCAGUAACAGCUUCACAGAGAAACCCCAAAACUUUUUGGACACAUGACGAAUCAUCACAUUGAGUUUUGAAUUGAAUUGUCGACUUUUUAUCGUUUGUGGAGGGAUGUAGAGGAUAGGGCGCUGUUACUAGGGACAGUGCAUGUGAUUUUGAGUUUUUGGUAUAAAAAAUGCUAUCUUAAACCUAUCAGACGACAUACAUAGUUUCUCGUCACGGGGGACAUGACGACAUACUCAAGCAGUCGACGUCGCAGCAGCAUCUCAUUCCAAGACUACACUCGUAUAAAGGAGGCCCUGAACCAGCUUAAAGAGCAGAAAAGGGGAAUUAAACGCCCUAAUAAAGAGAACCACGUGCGAAAUGGACACCCUCCAACGACAGUCAUUCUAAGAGUGGUACAGUUCCUUGUGCUGGGGAUAGUCAUUAUAAUAGUCUUAUAUGGAGUUUUGCAUAUUCUAUAAAACCUUGCUAUAUAGCGGUUUGGAAACGACUUAUUAGAAGGAAACAUUUUAUGAUGAUGUGGUCUUGUGUUGUGAAAUAAAAGGUGUAUCAGUCGU
Ostrea edulis (European flat oyster) is the source of this 1025-nucleotide long non-coding RNA. RefSeq lists it as uncharacterized. Lineage: Eukaryota; Metazoa; Mollusca; Bivalvia; Ostreida; Ostreidae. The transcript is spliced from 3 exons. The record is from RefSeq and is a predicted model, not a curated record.